AUUGAACGCUGGCGGCAGGCCUAACACAUGCAAGUCGAACGGUAGCACAGAGAGCUUGCACUCGGGUGACGAGUGGCGGACGGGUGAGUAACGUCUGGGAAACUGCCCGAUGGAGGGGGGUAACUACUGGAAACGGUAGCUAAUACCGCAUAACGUCGCAAGACCAAAGUGGGGGACCUUCGGGCCUCACACCAUCGGAUGUGCCCAGAUGGGAUUAGCUAGUAGGUGGGGUAAUGGCUCACCUAGGCGACGAUCCCUAGCUGGUCUGAGAGGGUGACCAGCCACACGGGAACUGAGACACGGUCCAGACUCCUACGGGAGGCAGCAGUGGGGAAUAUUGCACAAUGGGCGCAAGCCUGAUGCAGCCAUGCCGCGUGUAUGAAGAAGGCCUUCGGGUUGUAAAGUACUUUCAGCGGGGAGGAAGGCGGUGAAGUUAAUAACUUCACCGAUUGACGUUACCCGCAGAAGAAGCACCGGCUAACUCCGUGCCAGCCGCCGCCGUAA
This 504-nucleotide ribosomal RNA is filed under the name uncultured bacterium. Its description in RNAcentral is "partial 16S ribosomal RNA". It matches the Rfam family "Bacterial small subunit ribosomal RNA", at positions 29 to 523 of the family's 1533-position model. The record is from RNAcentral.